CUCUAUGGCCAUGCUACCCUGAACAAGCCCAAUGUCUGAUCUCGGAAGCUAAGCAGGGUCGGGCCUGGUUAGUACUUGGAUGGGAGACCACCUAGGAAGACCAGGUGCUGUAGGCA
This 116-nucleotide ribosomal RNA is filed under the name Pteropus alecto (black flying fox). The record is from RNAcentral. RNAcentral also lists the same sequence under 1 other name. Lineage: Eukaryota; Metazoa; Chordata; Mammalia; Chiroptera; Pteropodidae.